AAUCUGGCUACAGAUGGUAAAUCAGUUUUUUUGUUGUUGUUGUUCUUUGGUGUUUUUGUUUUUGUUUUUGUGCAUAUACAACUGACUUUACAGAAAGGAAAUAGAAACCAUAAACUGUAGAAAAUAAAGGGAAUUAGUUAAAUAUUAAAUCAUUCCCAACAGCUAUUUUUAAAGUAAAUAAGAAUCCCCAAGUCACAUUCUGGCUUUUCCUUGAAUAAUUUAGAAAAGCAUAUACCUUCAUAAAGAUUUAAGUACAACUUGGAUGGAAGAGCCUGUGGGUGCUCAGGUAGAGAUGACCUUGGGUCAGUGAGAAGGGUACUAUGGUAGAGAUGAUGUUGGAUCAGUGGUACAAGGUGCUGGGGUAGAGAUGACCUUGGGUCAGUAGGACAAUUGCUGGGAUACAAAUGAUCUUGUGUCAGUGGGACAGACAGGUUAGCAUCUGUCUGUCUGUGAUGGGGCUAUGGUAAAUGCUACAAUGUUCUUAAUGUCCUUCCCUCACAUCAAGAAAGCCACAGGUGAAGUGGUGCUGUGGGCACAGUGUUUUGAAGAAAAAAAAAUAAGAUCUCUCCAUCGCAUCCUGCAAUUCACAGUGUGAAAUGGGGGUCAAGAUGAUGACAGGAAGGUUACAACAGCAGGGCAAGUUCUACUGAAAAAUUGUUUCCUUUAACUGUCACCCAUGAUUCUUGUUAUCUUACCAAAUCCUGCCUGAUGUUUAUUAAUAACAUAAAUCAAACCUUGGCAUCUACCUGAUGACUGAAAGCCACUGAAGAACAGAAAGAAAAUUCAAGAAUCUGUCUUCACCUCUUCUUCACACCUCCAUUCAUUUCCAUUUAUAACCCAGCAAUGAAACUGAUCAAAUCACAUGACCUCAAAAGAUGGAAGUAAGCCUGCACAGAUUCAAAAGUAUGGUUAUAUAU
RNAcentral lists this long non-coding RNA (917 nucleotides) under Mus musculus (house mouse). RNAcentral's name for it is "long non-coding RNA chr3:157191129-157192046". The record is from RNAcentral. Lineage: Eukaryota; Metazoa; Chordata; Mammalia; Rodentia; Muridae.